This 492-nucleotide ribosomal RNA is filed under the name uncultured bacterium. Its description in RNAcentral is "partial 16S ribosomal RNA". It matches the Rfam family "Bacterial small subunit ribosomal RNA", at positions 29 to 507 of the family's 1533-position model. The record is from RNAcentral.
AGUGAACGCUGGCGGUAGGCCUAACACAUGCAAGUCGAACGGCAGCACAGUAAGAGCUUGCUCUUACGGGUGGCGAGUGGCGGACGGGUGAGGAAUACAUCGGAAUCUACUUUUUCGUGGGGGAUAACGUAGGGAAACUUACGCUAAUACCGCAUACGACCUACGGGUGAAAGCAGGGGAUCUUCGGACCUUGCGUGAUUGAAUGAGCCGAUGUCGGAUUAGCUAGUUGUCGGGGUAAAGGCCCACCAAGGCGACGAUCCGUAGCUGGUCUGAGAGGAUGAUCAGCCACACUGGAACUGAGGCACGGUCCAGACUCCUACGGGAGGCAGCAGUGGGGAAUAUUGGACAAUGGGCGCAAGCCUGAUCCAGCCAUACCGCGUGGGUGAAGAAGGCCUUCGGGUUGUAAAGCCCUUUUGUUGGGAAAGAAAAGCAGCAGGUUAAUACCCCGCUGUUCUGACGGUACCCAAAGAAUAAGCACCGGCUAACUUCGUG